GAAGCAGUGAUAGAGUUGUAGCCCCGCAUCGUGCACCAAAAAAUGUUGAUUGAAAUAAUAUUUAUUGAUUAUCGUAAAACGUAGAAUAAGGAUGGUACAUGGAGUAUCGAUCGGCCUUCGGGAAUUGCGAACACGAAAACAGAAAUUGGGAAGAAGUGGAUAUAUUUGCAUGCUAAGUGACACAAAGCAUCAUAAAGUUAGUUAGAACCAUUUUUCAUUUGGCCCUCACAUGCCAUCGUUGAUAAAAAAAAAAGGAAAAAAUGAAAAACCCGAAAGAGCCCGCGAAAUUAUGGGAGAAGAAGUCGACAUUGCUUCCAAUUUUGAUUCCCUCAUUACAUACUUUCUUCUUCAAGCACAAUUAAGGAGGGGAACCAAUCCCAGGCAGUCUCCCACAACUGUAUCAACGUUAUGGAUCUAACUAAACCACUCCGCUGCAUCGUAAAACUCGGGGGUGCGGCUAUUACUUGCAAGAAUGAAUUGGAGACGAUACACGAAGAAAAUUUGGCUACGGUUUCCUCACAUUUGAGGAAAACUAUGGUUAGUGGGUCUUCUUCUGAAAGUACUAUUGGAAUGGAUUGGAGCAAGCAGCCUGAAAAAUCCGGCAUUGAACGUACUGCCGAUGAUUUCAGAGAACAUGAAGUUGGCCUUGCAAGCCCCUUUAUAGUUGUUCAUGGAGCUGGUUCUUUUGGGCAUUUUCAAGCAAGUAAAUCGGGGGUUCAUAAAGGAGGACUUGAUAGAUCCUUAGUCAAAGCUGGAUUUGUUGCCACACGUAUAUCCGUUACUUCACUCAAUCUUAAAAUUGUUAGAGCACUUGCGAGAGAGGGUAUUCCAUCGGUUGGAAUGUCACCAUUUUCAUGUGGAUGGUCCACUUGUGAAAGAAAUAUGGAUGCAGUUGAUUUACAAGGGGUUUCUAAAGCCAUUAACUCUGGAUUUGUUCCUGUUCUGCAUGGAGAUGCCGUCUUUGACAAUUCCCUGGGGUGCACCAUAUUAAGUGGAGAUGUAAUUAUACGACAUCUUGCAGGGCAACUGAAGCCUGACUAUGUUGUGUUCCUUACGGAUGUUUUAGGUGUAUAUGAUCGUCCUCCAACAGAACCUAAUGCAGUCCUUUUAAGAGAGAUUGCUGUGGGUGAAGAUGGUCGUUGGUCUGUUAUACAACCUGUUCUGCACAAUGGUAACACAGAAGUUGAGAUAAGUGUAGCCGCCCAUGAUACAACUGGGGGAAUGGUGACUAAGAUAUCAGAAGCAGCAAUGAUUGCAAAGCUUGGCAUUGAAGUCUACAUUGUAAAGUAUUAUGUGCUGCUUGCUGCAGGCAGCCACUGUCCACUCCUUGAGAGCUCUAAACGGGGAAAUUCGAGGCAAGAUUCCAGAUGACUGGCUUGGGACAGCCAUUCGGUUUUCCGGAUAAGACCUCAAUCAGGUGCUUUCAGUGAAAUAUCUUAAUUUAUGAUCAACUCCCUCAAUUACUGCGGAAUAUUACAACUUGAUCCAAGUAUCCAGCUUUAUGACUGUUGGAAAGCGAUGAUUGGAAUUUACUAGUGCCAGUUUGUGAAAUUAGACUCAACCAGAAUCGUCUUACUUUGAUGCUAACUAGUAUUUGCCUGUUGCUUUUUAAAUUUUGUACACUUAUUUUUCCUCGGAAACAGAACUGAAGUAAGCCAUGUUGUACUAAGUGCAACGUACUUUGACACUGCCAAAGCAAUUCAAUGGACAUCAUAAGUUAUUAUGAAUGCAUAUUGCUAUUUAGACUGAGCCUCAA
This is an RNA transcript of Cucumis melo (muskmelon), 1756 nucleotides long. It is a transcript of the gene named isopentenyl phosphate kinase, with no coding region annotated. NCBI's taxonomy places the organism in Eukaryota, Viridiplantae, Streptophyta, Magnoliopsida, Cucurbitales, Cucurbitaceae. The record is from RefSeq and is a predicted model, not a curated record. The transcript has 13 exons.